RNAcentral lists this unclassified non-coding RNA (359 nucleotides) under uncultured fungus. RNAcentral describes it as "partial contains 5.8S ribosomal RNA and internal transcribed spacer 2". The stretch from base 1 to 133 matches the Rfam family "5.8S ribosomal RNA", at positions 22 to 154 of the family's 154-position model. The record is from RNAcentral. Lineage: Eukaryota; Fungi.
UGGUUCUGGCAUNGAUGAAGAACGCAGCGAAAUGCGAUAAGUAAUGUGAAUUGCAGAAUUCAGCGAAUCAUCGAAUUUUUGAACGCACAUUGCACCUCAGAGUACUCUUUGAGGUAUACCUGUUCGAGCGUCGUUUAGACCCUAAGGCAUUGCCUUGCGUUGACCGCCUAGAUUUUGGUUGAUAUUUCGAUAGACAACUAAAAUCUAGCAGUCUAAACAGAUUGGCGUCGUUGAUAGACCAAGUCACACACACACGUGAGAUAAAGUCUACCAAAGAUUUGCCUAUUGAACUCUAUUCUGUUUUUGCAACACUGCAAAAACGUAGGUUCGACCUCGGAUCAAGUAAGACUACCCGCUGA